Molecule: ribosomal RNA, 465 nt
Filed under: Vreelandella stevensii
Lineage: Bacteria; Pseudomonadati; Pseudomonadota; Gammaproteobacteria; Oceanospirillales; Halomonadaceae
Description: partial 16S ribosomal RNA
Rfam family: Bacterial small subunit ribosomal RNA
Source: RNAcentral
CCUACGGGUGGCUGCAGCGGGGAAUAUUGGACAAUGGGGGGAACCCUGAUCCAGCCAUGCCGCGUGUGUGAAGAAGGCCCUCGGGUUGUAAAGCACUUUCAGUGAGGAAGAACGCCUGGUGGUUAAUACCCAUCAGGAAAGACAUCACUCACAGAAGAAGCACCGGCUAACUCCGUGCCAGCAGCCGCGGUAAUACGGAGGGUGCGAGCGUUAAUCGGAAUUACUGGGCGUAAAGCGCGCGUAGGUGGCUUGAUAAGCCGGUUGUGAAAGCCCCGGGCUCAACCUGGGAACGGCAUCCGGAACUGUCAAGCUAGAGUGCAGGAGAGGAAGGUAGAAUUCCCGGUGUAGCGGUGAAAUGCGUAGAGAUCGGGAGGAAUACCAGUGGCGAAGGCGGCCUUCUGGACUGACACUGACACUGAGGUGCGAAAGCGUGGGUAGCAAACAGGAUUAGAUACCCGUGUAGUC